Molecule: ribosomal RNA, 484 nt
Filed under: uncultured bacterium
Lineage: Bacteria
Description: partial 16S ribosomal RNA
Rfam family: Bacterial small subunit ribosomal RNA
Source: RNAcentral
AUUGAACGCUGGCGGCAGGCCUAACACAUGCAAGUCGAGCGGAUGAAGGGAGCUUGCUCCUGGAUUCAGCGGCGGACGGGCGAGUAAUGCCUAGGAAUCUGCCUGGUAGUGGGGGAUAACGUCCGGAAACGGGCGCUAAUACCGCAUACGUCCUGAGGGAGAAAGUGGGGGAUCUUCGGACCUCACGCUACCAGAUGAGCCUAGGUCGGAUUAGCUAGUUGGUGGGGUAAAGGCCUACCAAGGCGACGAUCCGUAACUGGUCUGAGAGGAUGAUCAGUCACACUGGAACUGAGACACGGUCCAGACUCCUACGGGAGGCAGCAGUGGGGAAUAUUGGACAAUGGGCGAAAGCCUGAUCCAGCCAUGCCGCGUGUGUGAAGAAGGUCUUCGGAUUGUAAAGCACUUUAAGUUGGGAGGAAGGGCAGUACGUUAAUACCUUGCUGUUUUGACGUUACCAACAGAAUAAGCACCGGCUAACUUCGUG